This 426-nucleotide ribosomal RNA is filed under the name uncultured Bacillota bacterium. RNAcentral's name for it is "bacterial SSU rRNA". It matches the Rfam family "Bacterial small subunit ribosomal RNA", at positions 355 to 774 of the family's 1533-position model. Lineage: Bacteria; Bacillati; Bacillota. The record is from RNAcentral.
UAGGGAAUUUUCGUCAAUGGGGGGAACCCUGAACGAGCAAUGCCGCGUGCGUGAAGAAGGCCUUCGGGUCGUAAAGCGCUGUUGUAAGUGAAGAACGGCCGAUAUAGGGAAUGAUAUCGGAGUGACGGUAGCUUACCAGAAAGCCACGGCUAACUACGUGCCAGCAGCCGCGGUAAUACGUAGGUGGCGAGCGUUAUCCGGAAUUAUUGGGCGUAAAGGGUGCGUAGGUGGCACGAUAAGUCCGAAGUAAAAGGCAAUAGCUCAACUAUUGUGUGCUUUGGAAACUGUCGGGCUAGAGUGCAGAAGAGGGCGAUGGAAUUCCAUGUGUAGCGGUAAAAUGCGUAGAUAUAUGGAGGAACACCAGUGGCGAAGGCGGUCGCCUGGUCUGUAACUGACACUGAGGCACGAAAGCGUGGGGAGCAAAUA